UACGUAGGGUGCGAGCGUUGUCCGGAAUUACUGGGCGUAAAGAGCUCGUAGGUGGUUUGUCGCGUUGUUCGUGAAAACUCACAACUCAAUUGUGGGCGUGCGGGCGAUACGGGCAGACUGGAGUACUGCAGGGGAGACUGGAAUUCCUGGUGUAGCGGUGGAAUGCGCAGAUAUCAGGAGGAACACCAAUGGCGAAGGCGGCUAUCUGGACGGUUUCUGACGCUAAGACGCGAAAGCGUGGGGAGCAAACAGG
This 253-nucleotide ribosomal RNA is filed under the name uncultured bacterium. RNAcentral describes it as "partial 16S ribosomal RNA". It matches the Rfam family "Bacterial small subunit ribosomal RNA", at positions 524 to 776 of the family's 1533-position model. The record is from RNAcentral.